This 1245-nucleotide long non-coding RNA is filed under the name Homo sapiens (human). RNAcentral's name for it is "HSALNT0346279". The record is from RNAcentral. Lineage: Eukaryota; Metazoa; Chordata; Mammalia; Primates; Hominidae.
UUCAGCCUCCCAAAGUGCUGGAUUACAGGCGUGAACCACCGCACCAGGCCAAUCAUCUGCUUCUUAAACCAAACUGAGACUUUGCUGGGGCCGGGGCCGUGCCUCAUUCGUGUGUGUAGUGCCAGGACGUUGCACAGUACUUGGCAGAUGAAUUUCACAGCCACCCACUGAAGCCACUGGAGAUCUGAGGAAUCCCAAAGACAAGAAUGGGAAUCUCUCCCUUACCCUCAGAGAACCUUCAGAAGGCCAAGGGUUUCCCUUGGCCCCUAGGUGGAGGUAACCCAAACAGCAUGUGUCAGCUGAGCACUGGGCCUGACCUGCCCUGGACGGAAGUUCCUGCCUUGGAUUGGCCACUGGACCUGCCCUGGAGGGAAGUGCCUGACCUGGAUUGGCUGCUGUGGGCUAGCUGGGCUGGGGCUUCCACAGAAGAGCUGCCUUCUUGAAGGGUUAAAGCAUCAGCUCCAGGAAAUCAGGGUCAACCCGUGAUCUCCCAUUAGGGUUCAGGUGAUGGUCUAACCUGCUGUGCCUCCUCCAUCAUGGGCUUGAUGAACACUGACUGGAUUUGAAUGCCCAAAAGUCUGGGACUGAGUCAAGCUGUCUGGAACUACUGUCUGGAAGAGCCUCUUCCCCAUCCCAGCAACUGUACCCAUCAAUCAGGAACUGUUGCUGAACCCAGGGCUGCCUGGAUAAACAUUUAUAAGACCCAGAGGGAUCAUUAGUAGAGGGUAGAGGAUGUCUUUGCUUGAACCCAAGUCCAAAACUGAACUCACCCUUUGCCCUUUAACUCAUAGAAAUUCAAAUGAGGCAAAGGUGAGGAGAGAGAACAACUUAAAUCAGUGGUUCUCAACCUUGUCUGCACCUUAGAAUCUCUAAGGAGCUUUUAAGAAUUCAGAUGCGUACACUGUUCUCUAGAAGGAUGGAAUCAGAAUCUCUGGGGGUGGAACCCAGGCAUCUGUAUUUUUCAAAGCUCCCCAGGUGAUUCCAAUGUGCAGCCAAGGUUGAGAAUCAUAGACUCAAAUAGUGCUUGGAGUUCCUGCUGGUCAUUCUACCCAUGGCCGAAAACCCUGGGGUGAAGAAGUGGAAGACCUGAUUCUUCUAUUUCUGUGGAGUUCCUUGUGUUUUUCCUGUAAUGAGCAUCUCUCCAUGCUGAGUGCGAUUUUUGGGGUUUAAGAUCUGUAUUUCAGCUGAGAGCAGUGGCAUGCACCUAUAACCCCAGCUGCUUAGGAGGCUGAGGCAGGAGGAUCG